Ictalurus punctatus (channel catfish) is the source of this 815-nucleotide non-coding RNA. NCBI's taxonomy places the organism in Eukaryota, Metazoa, Chordata, Actinopteri, Siluriformes, Ictaluridae. The record is from the annotation of a RefSeq genome assembly.
AUGAAGACGGGGAUCAAAGUCAUGGUAGCUGUGGGUGAAGUUGCUGUAGCAGCAGCUCUCAGUCAUGAAGUGUUAAAGUCACAGCGCUAUAAACACUCCCAGAGCACUGAAGCAUGUGCUGCCAAUGCAAAGUGUCCUCUGAGUAUGGAGACGCCUUUACCACAUUCCCCCAAUCUUACUAGCAGCAGGGUUUUUGUACGGCCACUAAACCUGUUUGUAUCACUGUGGUGGACUUUCGGUGGAGGAACUAAACUGUCUGUGGGCCGCCUCACCCAGCCCAGUGUGACGGUGUUGCCCCCCUCCAGUGUAGAGCUGCAGCAGGAGAAGGUCACACUCGUGUGUGUGGCCUACAAGGGCUUCCCCUCGGACUGGAGGCUGAGCUGGAAGGUUGAUGGGAGCAGCUGGAGCUCGGGGGAGAGCCACAGCUCCGCAGUUCUGCAGGCGGACGGCCUCUACAGCUGGAGCAGCACGCUGAGCCUCCACCCGGAGCAGUGGAGGAACAAGGUGGUGACCUGUGAGGCCUCCAAGGACAACCAACCACCUGUGGUGAGCACAGUGAACACAGAGCAGUGCUGAGAGCUGUGAGCUCACACACACGUUACUCAGCUCACCUUCUACUGCUUCACUGUGUGUUCCAUGUGACCUUUACUGCUCAAAUGUCCCACUUUCAUCAUUUCAUCUGUUAUUGACAUGUGAGCUCACACACUCCUCACUUUAACUCAGAUCUUCUUCUCAUCACCUAAUUAUGUGUUAAGUGUGUGUAUCACUGCAAUGUCCUGCUUUGAAUUAUUAAUAAAAGCCUUUGAAUCAGUAAA